CCUACGGGAGGCUGCAGUGGGGAAUAUUGGGCAAUGGGCGCAAGCCUGACCCAGCAACGCCGCGUGAAGGAAGAAGGCUUUCGGGUUGUAAACUUCUUUUCUGAGGGACGAAGAAAGUGACGGUACCUCCGGAAUAAGCCACGGCUAACUACGUGCAAGCAGCCGCGGUAAUACGUAGGUGGCAAGCGUUAUCCGGAUUAAUGGGGUGUAAAGGGCGUGUAGGCGGGAAAGCAAGUCAGAUGUGAAAUCUCAGGGCUCAACCCUGAGCCUGCAUUUGAAACUGUUUUUCUUGAGUGCUGGAGAGGCAAUCGGAAUUCCAUGUGUAGCGGGGAAAUGCGUAGAUAUACGGAGGAACACCAGUGGCGAAGGCGGAUUGCUGGACAGUAACUGACGCUGAGGCGCGAAAGCGUGGGGAGCAAACAGGAUUAGAUACCCCGGUAGUC
Molecule: ribosomal RNA, 443 nt
Filed under: uncultured bacterium
Lineage: Bacteria
Description: partial 16S ribosomal RNA
Rfam family: Bacterial small subunit ribosomal RNA
Source: RNAcentral